Tyto alba (common barn owl) is the source of this 985-nucleotide long non-coding RNA. RefSeq lists it as uncharacterized. The transcript has 2 exons. NCBI's taxonomy places the organism in Eukaryota, Metazoa, Chordata, Aves, Strigiformes, Tytonidae. The record is from RefSeq and is a predicted model, not a curated record.
AGCGCAGACAAUAGCGACAUGGCCGCCUCCCGCCCCGCGGCGGGGAAGGAGCCAGGCGAGCGGCCGGCCCGGGCCUGGCUCGACGCCGGGUACUCGGGGCAGAAGCAGGAGCACGUCCUGCCUAGCAGUUCUCCGGGUAGACGGCUGGUUUCGGCUACGGGAAACACAGCGCCUAGCCCCGACACCGUGGUGUUCGUUCACAGAACUGGCGGGGUGUCAUAAAUGCAGAUGAGCCUCAUAUAUUAAUACAAAACAAAAAAAAAAAAAUACGAACAGACAUUUGACAGGAGGAGAUGUUGAUCUAUAUAUUCAAUUUCAAACCCUUAGGUACUCUUUGAGGAUGUUGGGGAGCUGUACAAAGUUCGGGAAGUGCAGUUGAAAUGUAAUCUCCCCUUCCCCUUUUUUAAAAAAAAAAUAAAUAAACCUACUUUCUAGAAAAAAUAUAGUUAACAAUACACUUUUUCAAUGUCAGAUCAGAUUGCUCAGCAGAACUGACUUUCUGUCUUCUGUCAGAAAGACACAUAAAGUAAAAGCAUGUUGUGUAGUUGCUCCAGGACAAAAUCAAUCACUUAAUUCUGUGUAUCUCUGGUGAAUUAUUUUUUUUUAUUAUUAACACAUGAAAUUAUGCAAACAUAAAUAAUAAAACAACAUGAAGUCACAUCAAUGAAGGAUUCAUUCUUAACAUAUAUUGUUCUCAGUCAUAUGUGGAGUGGUAGAAAGCAUCACAUAAAAAGACAUGAAAGAAGAAGCACUGACAUUUAGCAAAGGUGAAUUAUUCUUUCAACUUAUCUCAGUAAAAAUCAAAUCUCCUUUAUGUUGCUUUACAUCCUUUCCUCAGAACUAUAGCGUUAAUGAAAGCCCUUUGCAACAUUAAACUGUGAAACCUGCCUAGAGUGUAUUUACACAAUCCAUAUAUAAAUAGACCAUGCUUUCUUAGGUUUUCUAGUAGAAUAAAAUCAAUCGGUGCAUAUUCAAGCUACGAAAA